GUGCACUUUUCCAGUUCAGGCCAGCAUCAGUUUUCGCCGGGGGAUAAAGGCAGCGGGAAUGUGGCUCUCUUCGGGGAGUGUUAUAGCCCGUUGUGUAAUACCCUGGUGGGGACUGAGGUUCGCGCUUCUGCAAGGAUGCUGGCGUAAUGGUCAUCAACGA
RNAcentral lists this ribosomal RNA (160 nucleotides) under Fusarium lateritium. Its description in RNAcentral is "partial large subunit ribosomal RNA". The record is from RNAcentral. Lineage: Eukaryota; Fungi; Ascomycota; Sordariomycetes; Hypocreales; Nectriaceae.